This 586-nucleotide ribosomal RNA is filed under the name uncultured bacterium. RNAcentral's name for it is "partial 16S ribosomal RNA". It matches the Rfam family "Bacterial small subunit ribosomal RNA", at positions 355 to 1375 of the family's 1533-position model. The record is from RNAcentral.
UGGGGAAUUUUGGACAAUGGGCGAAAGCCUGAUCCAGCAAUGCCGCGUGUGUGAAGAAGGCCUUCGGGUUGUAAAGCACUUUUGUCCGGAAAGAAAUCCUUGGCUCUAAUACAGUCGGGGGAUGACGGUACCGGAAGAAUAAGCACCGGCUAACUACGUGCCAGCAGCCGCGGUAAUACGUAGGGUGCAAGCGUUAAUCGGAAUUACUGGGCGUAAAGCGUGCGCAGGCGGUUUGCUAAGACCGAUGUGAAAUCCCCGGGCUCAACCUGGGAACUGCAUUGGUGACUGGCAGGCUAGAGUAUGGCAGAGGGGGGUAGAAUUCCACGUGUAGCAGUGAAAUGCGUAGAGAUGUGGAGGAAUACCGAUGGCGAAGGCAGCCCCCUGGGCCAAUACUGACGCUCAUGCACGAAAGCGUGGGGAGCAAACAGGAUUCAGAUACCCUGGUAGUCCACGCCCUAAACGAUGUCAACUAGUUGUUGGGGAUUCAUUUCCUUAGUAACGUAGCUAACGCGUGAAGUUGACCGCCUGGGGAGUACGGUCGCAAGAUUAAAACUCAAAGGAAUUGACGGGGUCAUAGCUGUUUCCU